RNAcentral lists this long non-coding RNA (364 nucleotides) under Sus scrofa (pig). Its description in RNAcentral is "lncRNA (ENSSSCG00030012127.1)". The record is from RNAcentral. Lineage: Eukaryota; Metazoa; Chordata; Mammalia; Artiodactyla; Suidae.
GCUAGAAACAUAGAAAACAAUUGCCUCUGAGCACGUGUAUGGAUUUCCUUGCAGGAGUCUGAGCUGGCAGUUAUUUUAAUUAGCAACACAUUUUAUAAGGGCAGAAUCAGAAAUGGAAACAUGUCAAAGCCUCUUUAGCUAUUGAGUUUGGCAGACUAACAUGCGUGUGCCUGGGUAUGGUAAUCAGCUCUUGACUCCCCUCCAUCUCUCCCAAGAGAGCCAUGUGAACAUACAGAGCCCCCUACUUGGAUAUGGGAGGACUUAUCAAUAUCACACACCAAAUGCUGAAGAUUCAGGAGUCCUCUUGAAGCCACUUCUGGGGAAAGCCUUCUCAAGAAGGAGUGCAACUCCCUACUCUUACUGA